RNAcentral lists this ribosomal RNA (253 nucleotides) under uncultured bacterium. RNAcentral describes it as "partial 16S ribosomal RNA". It matches the Rfam family "Bacterial small subunit ribosomal RNA", at positions 524 to 776 of the family's 1533-position model. The record is from RNAcentral.
UACGUAGGGUGCAAGCGUUGUCCGGAAUUAUUGGGCGUAAAGAGCUCGUAGGCGGUCUGUCGCGUCGGCUGUGAAAACCCGGAGCUCAACUCCGGGCCUGCAGUCGAUACGGGCAGACUGGAGUUCGGCAGGGGAGACUGGAAUUCCUGGUGUAGCGGUGAAAUGCGCAGAUAUCAGGAGGAACACCGGUGGCGAAGGCGGGUCUCUGGGCCGAUACUGACGUGGAGGAGCGAAAGCGUGGGGAGCGAACAGG